GACGAACGCUGGCGGCGUGCUUAACACAUGCAAGUCGAACGGAAAGGCCUCUUUGCGGGGGUACUCAAGGUGGCCAACGGGGGAGUAACACGAGAGUAACCUGCCCUUGCACUUUGGAAUAACUUCAGGAAACUGGAGCUAGUACCGGAUAGGAGCUCCUGCUGCAUGGUGGGGGUUGGAAAGUUUCUGCGGAUGGGAGAUGGACUCCCGGCUUAUCACCUUGUUGGUGGGGUACGUGGCUUACCAAGGCUUUAUACAGGUAGCCAGCCUGAGAGGGUAGACCCGCCACAUUGGGACUGACAUACAGCCCACACUCCUACGGAGAGGCAGCAGUGGGGAAUAUUGCACUGUGGGUGGAACCCAGAUGCACCUGCCCCGUGUGCGAGAAGACCGCCUUCGGGUUGAAAACCGCUUUCUCUCAUGACAAACCUUUCUGUGACGGUAGAGGGUAAAGAACCACCGGAUAACUGCUUGCCAACAUCCGCGGCGAUACCUACGGUGCGAGCGAUGACCCGAUUUAUUGCCCGAAAAGGUGCUCGUAAGUGGUUGAUCACGUCGGUAAUGUAAUCUUGGGGCUUAACCCUGAGCGUGCCUUUGAUACUGAUGAGCUUGAAUGAACUAAAGGUAGGCGGAAUGUGACAAGUAACGGUGAAAUGCGCAGAUAUGUCACAGAACACCGAUUGCGAAGGCAGCUUACUAUGGUUUUAUCCUGACGCUGAGGAGCGAAAGCGUGGGGAUCAAACAGGAUUAAAUACCCUGGUAGUCCACGCCCUAAACGAUGAAUACUCGCUGUUAGCGAUACACAGUUAGCGGCUAAGCGAAAGCGUUAAGUAUUCCACCUGGGGAGUACGCCCGCAAGGGUGAAACUCAAAGGAAUUGACGGGGGCCCGCACAAGCGGCGGAGCAUGUGGUUUAAUUCUAUGAUACGCGAGGAACCUUACCCGGGCUUGAAAGUUAGUGAAUGAUUUAGAGAUAGAUCAGUGAGCAAUCACACGAAACUAGGUGCUGCAUGGCUGUCAUCAGCUCGUGCCGUGAGGUGUUGGGUUAAGUCCCGCAACGAGCGCAACCCCUAUGUUUAGUUGCCAGCACGUUAUGGUGGGGACUCUAAACAAACUGCCGGGGUCAACAGAGAGGAAGGUGGGGAUGACGUCAAGUCAUCAUGCCCCUUAUGUCCAGGGCUUCACGCAUGCUACAAUGGAUGGUACAAAGAGUUGCGAGCUGGCAACAGCAAGCGAAUCUCGGAAAGCCGGUCUCAGUUCGGAUUGGGGUCUGCAACUCGACCUCAUGAAGUCGGAGUCGCUAGUAAUCGCAGAUCAGCAACGCUGCGGUGAAUACGUUCCCGGGCCU
RNAcentral lists this ribosomal RNA (1347 nucleotides) under uncultured bacterium. RNAcentral's name for it is "partial 16S ribosomal RNA". It matches the Rfam family "Bacterial small subunit ribosomal RNA", at positions 28 to 1381 of the family's 1533-position model. The record is from RNAcentral.